AAUAAGUAAAUGACAAAUCAGAUUUUUCCUUCUGAUUUUCAGUAUUUUUCUGCUGACAAAAUUCAAAUCUAGCUAAAAAAGCUUAAAAUCAGGAGGAAAAAUUUGAUUUGUCAUUUUUCUAUU
Molecule: non-coding RNA, 123 nt
Organism: Gossypium arboreum
Lineage: Eukaryota; Viridiplantae; Streptophyta; Magnoliopsida; Malvales; Malvaceae
Source: Rfam